AUUGAACGCUGGCGGCAUGCCUUACACAUGCAAGUCGAACGGCGAGCACGGGGGCAACCCUGGUGGCGAGUGGCGAACGGGUGAGUAAUACAUCGGAACGUGCCCAAUAGUGGGGGAUAGCCCGGCGAAAGCCGGAUUAAUACCGCAUACGACCUACGGGUGAAAGCGGGGGGAUCGCAAGACCUCGUGCUACCGGAGCGGGCCGAUGUCAGAUUAGGUUGUUGGUGGGGUAAAAGCCUACCAAGCCGACGAUCUGUAGCUGGUCUGAGAGGACGACCAGCCACGACUGGGACUGA
Molecule: ribosomal RNA, 296 nt
Filed under: uncultured bacterium
Lineage: Bacteria
Description: partial 16S ribosomal RNA
Rfam family: Bacterial small subunit ribosomal RNA
Source: RNAcentral